This is a non-coding RNA of Bombyx mori (domestic silkworm), 159 nucleotides long. The record is from Rfam. Lineage: Eukaryota; Metazoa; Arthropoda; Insecta; Lepidoptera; Bombycidae.
AUACUUACCUGGCGUGGGGGAUACCGUGAUCAUGCAGGCGGUUCCCCCAGGGCAAGGCUGCUCCAUUGCACUGCGGAGUAGUUGACCCUUGCGGUUAGCUUUAUCAAUAAAAAAAAUUAGAAUAAAAAAUGUAUACACGAAUAAUUAUUUUCUUUAUAC